This 285-nucleotide long non-coding RNA is filed under the name Homo sapiens (human). RNAcentral's name for it is "non-protein coding lnc-COPRS-3:2". Lineage: Eukaryota; Metazoa; Chordata; Mammalia; Primates; Hominidae. The record is from RNAcentral.
AGUGAAUGGCACUGACAUCCUGCCUCCGCCUGACUGAGCCCUGAGUCACAGGCCCCUGCCGGAGGCCCUGCUGCUCUGGGCAGACCAGGCCUGCACCACUGACAAGGCCUAGGAGGAAGCAUUAGGGCAGUCAAGAGUCCCUGGGGAGGCUGACUGAGGCUUAAAGAAACGGGGCUGGCAUUUCCUCCCGGCAAGGCUGGCCAGGGCCCUGCACUCAGGCUGGCUGGUGAAGAAGCGUGCUGGGGGGCUGCGUGCAUGCAGGCACGGUGUCAAGGUGGCCGGCCC